AUGAAGCUCCUCGUGGACACCAAGGCGCGCCGCGUGCUCUUCGCGGAGGCCGGCAAGGACGUGGUGGACUUCCUCUUCUCCCUCCUCGCGCUGCCCAUCGGCACGGCCGUCAAGCUGAUCGGCGCCAAGUCCAUGGUGGGGAGCGCCGGCGACCUCUACCGCAGCGUGGAGAAGCUUGACGGAACCUACGUCCAGCCCGGCGCGGCCAAGGACGCGAUCCUCCGCCCCGUCAUGGCUCGCUCGCCGGCCAACAGCGCCCUCCUCGGCCUGCCGACUCCCUCCAACAGAUUCUUCAGGUGUUCCUCCUUCAGCGGUUGCCGCGACUACGUGACGGACGUGAGCGGCACCAAGUGCCCCAGAUGUUCCUGUGCGAUGACGAUCCAAAUCCAGUACGCGCCGCCUGCCGGUGCCAUUGCGCAGAACGCGGCCACCGCGGUGGCGGCAGCAGAUGGGUUCGUGCGGGGCGUCGUGACGUACACGGUGAUGGACAGCCUCGCGGUGUCGCCCAUGUCCGCCAUCUCCAGCAUCGCGCUGCUCAACACCUUCGCGGUCAGGGAUCUCACCGCGCUCCAGGAGAAGAUCGUGCACAUCGGAAUCUCUCUCUUAUUGUUUAGCUGCACAGCACUACUUAAACAAAUCCUGACGUCUAAAUUCCUGAAAUCUAUACCCUAUACUCACCAAUCCUGA
RNAcentral lists this ribosomal RNA (687 nucleotides) under Triticum aestivum (bread wheat). Its description in RNAcentral is "partial small subunit ribosomal RNA". Lineage: Eukaryota; Viridiplantae; Streptophyta; Magnoliopsida; Poales; Poaceae. The record is from RNAcentral.